AGUGAACGCUGGCGGUAGGCCUAACACAUGCAAGUCAAACGGCAGCACAGGAGAGCUUGCUCUCUGGGUGGCGAGUGGCGGACGGGUGAGGAAUACAUCGGAAUCUACUCUGUCGUGGGGGAUAACGUAGGGAAACUUACGCUAAUACCGCAUACGACCUACGGGUGAAAGCAGGGGACCUUCGGGCCUUGCGCGAUUGAAUGAGCCGAUGUCGGAUUAGCUAGUUGGCGGGGUAAAGGCCCACCAAGGCGACGAUCCGUAGCUGGUCUGAGAGGAUGAUCAGCCACACUGGAACUGAGACACGGUCCAGACUCCUACGGGAGGCAGCAGUGGGGAAUAUUGGACAAUGGGCGCAAGCCUGAUCCAGCCAUACCGCGUGGGUGAAGAAGGCCUUCGGGUUGUAAAGCCCUUUUGUUGGGAAAGAAAUCCAGCUGGCUAAUACCCGGUUGGGAUGACGGUACCCAAAGAAUAGGCACCGGCUAACUUCGUGCCAGCAGCCGCGGUAA
RNAcentral lists this ribosomal RNA (506 nucleotides) under uncultured bacterium. RNAcentral's name for it is "partial 16S ribosomal RNA". It matches the Rfam family "Bacterial small subunit ribosomal RNA", at positions 29 to 523 of the family's 1533-position model. The record is from RNAcentral.